RNAcentral lists this ribosomal RNA (479 nucleotides) under Archaeorhizomyces borealis. RNAcentral's name for it is "eukaryotic LSU rRNA". The stretch from base 143 to 294 matches the Rfam family "5.8S ribosomal RNA". Lineage: Eukaryota; Fungi; Ascomycota; Archaeorhizomycetes; Archaeorhizomycetales; Archaeorhizomycetaceae. The record is from RNAcentral.
AACCUGCGGAGGGAUCAUUACUGAAUGGCCUUUUGGGCCUUCAACCUUCAAAAACAUGUGGAAGCAAGAUGUGCUUCGGUGCCUCUGGUGCCGCCUUUAUGCAGUGAAGCCUUAUUUGUCUGAACCAAAAUCAAAAAGUUAAAACUUUCAACAAAGGAUCUCUUGGCUCUCACAUCGAUGAAGAACGCAGCGAAGCGCGAAAUGUAGUGUGAAUCGCAGAACUUAGUGAAUCAUCGAAUCUUUGAACGCACAUUGCGCCUCCCAUCAUCGGGAGGCAUGCCUGUCUGAGCGUCAUUUAAACCAUAGCUCCCAUCUGGGACUGUACUGGGCAUCGCCGACGGCGUAGCCUCAAAGACAUUGGUCUAAUCAAGCGGACGAGUUCCUUUAGGACGGACCGUUGGGUUGACCUUAAACCUCUGACUUGACCUCAGAUCAGGUAGGGCUACCGCCUGAACUUAAGCAUAUCAUAGCCGGAAGGA